Molecule: ribosomal RNA, 168 nt
Filed under: uncultured bacterium
Lineage: Bacteria
Description: partial 16S ribosomal RNA
Source: RNAcentral
GGGAUUAGCAUGCACGCACUCUGAUCAGCAUGCCGCGUGAGUGAUGAAGGCCUUAGGGUUGUAAAGCUCUUUUUGCAGGGAAGAAAAUGACGGUACUUGUAGGAGAAUGACCGGAUAUCUCCGAGCCACCACCCCCGGUAAUGUGCCAUCCGCCGCGGUAAUAUAAUA